This 71-nucleotide transfer RNA is filed under the name Nothobranchius thierryi (Togo killifish). Its description in RNAcentral is "tRNA-Gln". It matches the Rfam family "tRNA". From Rfam's summary of the family: Transfer RNA (tRNA) molecules are approximately 80 nucleotides in length. Their secondary structure includes four short double-helical elements and three loops (D, anti-codon, and T loops). Further hydrogen bonds mediate the characteristic L-shaped molecular structure. tRNAs have two regions of fundamental functional importance: the anti-codon, which is responsible for specific mRNA codon recognition, and the 3' end, to which the tRNAs corresponding amino acid is attached (by aminoacyl-tRNA synthetases). tRNAs cope with the degeneracy of the genetic code in two manners: having more than one tRNA (with a specific anti-codon) for a particular amino acid; and 'wobble' base-pairing, i.e. permitting non-standard base-pairing at the 3rd anti-codon position. Lineage: Eukaryota; Metazoa; Chordata; Actinopteri; Cyprinodontiformes; Nothobranchiidae. The record is from RNAcentral.
UAGGAAAUAGUAUAAUGGGAGUACAAAGAGUUUUGAUCUCUUAAGCAGAAGUUCUAAUCUUCUUUUCCUAA